This 305-nucleotide ribosomal RNA is filed under the name uncultured bacterium. RNAcentral describes it as "bacterial SSU rRNA". It matches the Rfam family "Bacterial small subunit ribosomal RNA", at positions 334 to 637 of the family's 1533-position model. The record is from RNAcentral.
GAACCCUACGGGAGGCAGCAGUGAGGAAUAUUGGUCAAUGGGCGAGAGCCUGAACCAGCCAAGUCGCGUGAGGGAAGACGGUCCUAUGGAUUGUAAACCUCUUUUGCCGGGGAGCAAAAAGCGGUACGUGUACCGCAUCGAGAGUACCCGGAGAAAAAACAUCGGCUAACCCCGUGCCAGCAGCCGCGGUAAUACGGAGGAUGCGAGCGUUAUCCGGAUUUAUUGGGUUUAAAGGGUGCGCAGACGGCGAGUUAAGUCAGCGGUAAAAUUUCGGGGCUCAACCCCGACAAGCCGUUGAAACUUGG